RNAcentral lists this ribosomal RNA (207 nucleotides) under uncultured bacterium. Its description in RNAcentral is "partial 16S ribosomal RNA". It matches the Rfam family "Bacterial small subunit ribosomal RNA", at positions 568 to 774 of the family's 1533-position model. The record is from RNAcentral.
UGCGUAGGCGGUCGGGUAAGUCUGAUGUGAAAUCUUCAAGCUCAACUUGGAAACUGCAUCGGAUACUAUUCGGCUCGAGGAAUGGAAGGGAGACUGGAAUACUUGGUGUAGCAGUGAAAUGCGUAGAUAUCAAGUGGAACACCAGUGGCGAAGGCGAGUCUCUGGACAUUUCCUGACGCUGAGGCACGAAAGCCAGGGGAGCAAACG